This 165-nucleotide microRNA precursor is filed under the name Pelobates cultripes (western spadefoot toad). The record is from RNAcentral. Lineage: Eukaryota; Metazoa; Chordata; Amphibia; Anura; Pelobatidae.
GCAGACACAUUCCAGCCAAUCAGCAGCAGACCCUCCCUCCCAGACCCUCCCACCUCCUGGACAGCAUCCAUUUUGAAGCUGCAUUCUUAGUGAGCUGUCCAGGAGGUGGGAGGGUCUGGGAGGGAGGGAGGGAGGGUCUGCUGCUGAUUGGCUGGAAUGUGUCUG